RNAcentral lists this unclassified non-coding RNA (246 nucleotides) under uncultured fungus. Its description in RNAcentral is "partial contains 5.8S ribosomal RNA, internal transcribed spacer 2, and large subunit ribosomal RNA". The record is from RNAcentral. Lineage: Eukaryota; Fungi.
AACGCACAUUGCGCCCAUUAGUAUUCUAGUGGGCAUGCCUGUUCGAGCGUCAUUUCAACCCUUAAGCCCAUGUUGCUUAGCGUUGAGGGCCUACGCCACGUAGCCCUCGAAAUUCAGUGGCGGAGCUGGAUUCAUGCUCUAGACGUAGUAAAUUUAUCUCGUCUGCAGCUGAGCUUGACUCCCGCCGUAAAAACCCCUAUUCUCAAGGUUGACCUCGGAUCAGGUAGGAAUACCCGCUGAACUUAA